UGCCAGCCGCCGCGGUAAUACGGAGGGUGCAAGCGUUAUCCGGAAUCACUGGGUUUAAAGGGUGCGUAGGCGGCAAAAUAAGUCAGAAGUGAAAGCUCGCAGCUUAACUGUGGAAUUGCUUUUGAUACUGUAUUGCUUGAAUAAGGUUGAGGUCAGCGGAAUGUGACAUGUAGCGGUGAAAUGCAUAGAUAUGUCAUAGAACACCAAUUGCGAAGGCAGCUGGCUAGACCUUUAUUGACGCUGAGGCACGAAAGCGUGGGGAGCGAACAGGAUUAGAUA
This 279-nucleotide ribosomal RNA is filed under the name uncultured bacterium. Its description in RNAcentral is "partial 16S ribosomal RNA". It matches the Rfam family "Bacterial small subunit ribosomal RNA", at positions 506 to 784 of the family's 1533-position model. The record is from RNAcentral.